UGCAUAUCAAAAAAGCGGAGGAAAAGAAACCAACAGGGAUUGCCCUAGUAACGGCGAGUGAAGCGGCAACAGCUCAAAUUUGAAAGCUAGCCUUCGGGUUCGCAUUGUAAUUUGUAGAGGAUGAUUUGGGGAAGCCGCCUGUCUAAGUUCCUUGGAACAGGACGUCAUAGAGGGUGAGAAUCCCGUAUGUGACAGGAAAUGGCACCCUAUGUAAAUCUCCUUCGACGAGUCGAGUUGUUUGGGAAUGCAGCUCUAAAUGGGAGGUAAAUUUCUUCUAAAGCUAAAUAUUGGCGAGAGACCGAUAGCGCACAAGUAGAGUGAUCGAAAGAUGAAAAGCACUUUGGAAAGAGAGUUAAAAAGCACGUGAAAUUGUUGAAAGGGAAGCGCUUGCAAUCAGACUUGUUUAAACUGUUCGGCCGGUCUUCUGACCGGUUUACUCAGUUUGGACAGGCCAGCAUCAGUUUCGGCGGCCGGAUAAAGGCUCUGGGAAUGUGGCCUCCACUUCGGUGGAGGUGUUAUAGCCCAGGGUGUAAUACGGCCAGCCGGGACUGAGGUCCGCGCUCGGCUAGGAUGCUGCCUAAAAGUCCGGUGGGU
This 594-nucleotide ribosomal RNA is filed under the name Aureobasidium pullulans. RNAcentral's name for it is "eukaryotic LSU rRNA". It matches the Rfam family "Eukaryotic large subunit ribosomal RNA", at positions 37 to 645 of the family's 3401-position model. Lineage: Eukaryota; Fungi; Ascomycota; Dothideomycetes; Dothideales; Saccotheciaceae. The record is from RNAcentral.